RNAcentral lists this ribosomal RNA (394 nucleotides) under uncultured bacterium. RNAcentral's name for it is "partial 16S ribosomal RNA". It matches the Rfam family "Bacterial small subunit ribosomal RNA", at positions 523 to 918 of the family's 1533-position model. The record is from RNAcentral.
AUACGGAAGGUCCUGGCGUUAUCCGGAUUUAUUGGGUUUAAAGGGAGCGCAGGCCGGUGUGUAAGCGUGACGUCAAAUACAGCCGCUCAACGGUUGUCCGCGUCGCGAACUGCACGCCUUGAGUACGCUGCAAGUGGGCGGAAUUCGUGGUGUAGCGGUGAAAUGCUUAGAUAUCACGAAGAACUCCGAUUGCGAAGGCAGCCCGCUGUCGCGUGACUGACGCUGAGGCUCGAAGGUGCGGGUAUCGAACAGGAUUAGAUACCCUGGUAGUCCGCACUGUAAACGAUGAUGACUAACCGCCGGGCGGAAUGACGUCCGGCAGCCAAGCGAAAGCGAUAAGUCAUCCACCUGGGGAGUACGGCCGCAAGGCUGAAACUCAAAGGAAUUGACGGGG